GUGGAGACUUUGUGGCUGCUACCCACAACAACAAAUGUUUGUUCCCAUGGCAACAGCAGCUUAAACAUCAGAUCUUCUUGGUGGCCAGAUGAUGAGAGUUUUCAUCACUCCGACAUAGACACUCCCAUGUUUACAUCAGGGAAACGUCACAUAACACUUCUGCGGUAAUGACAGGGAAGCCAGCUUGUUCACUUUAUGGGCCACAGCAACAGGCCUGUUACAGAGAGCUGCAUUAAAUGGUACAUGAAAGUACUUUUUACGGUUUCCUGGCACAAAGCAGAAAAUGCCUAACUAGUUGGGCUGACCACAUUGCAGCUGAACGAGUUGCAGAAAACAACAAACAUAAACGAACAUUUCUAAAAGUCAAUUGUGCAAUUCUGUGAUUAAGUAUAGCACUUCCCUUCCAGCCUGGAAAAUCCAAGCCAAAACAGAUGCUUCCAAUGAUUUUCUGCGUAUCAUUUACCUAACUAAAAUGUGUGUACUGUACAUGUGGAGGACAGACUGUCUGAGCUGACCAAAUGGACGGGAAGAAAUCGAAGCAAAAAGUAGGGAAGAGGUGUCAAACUCCACAAGUCCGAGACAUUCCUGAGGGCCAAACUUGUGUAGGUUUGGUGAAGGUGUCAAGCCACCCAGGGCUAAUGGCGAUGCAGCUGUGGCAAUCUACACAAACACCUCUCAGGAAUUCUCAGGGUGGAUUACGAGGAAGGAUAAAGGAAGAGGAUGAAGUUAAGGAAUUCAGAACCUGGGUGUGAUAUUUAGCCAGGCAGUGUUAAACCAGCACAAAGUGAUUCCUGUAACACCUAUGAGAGGGUGUCUCUGAUUGAACAGUCCUCGUGUCUGGAAAUUUUAUGUUCAAGGUUCAACGUUCAAAAAUGUCUACAGUUUUCCUUAUUAAACCUUAACAUUAACCUUUUCUUGAACUAACCUUUAAGGAACAGUUCAAGGCUUUGGGAAAUAUGCUUAUUUGCUUUCUUCCUCAGAGCUAGAUAAAAAUGUCUGUGAGAGCGAGAAGGAAGUGGUUAGCUUAGCUUAGCAUAAAGCCUGUUGAAUGCAUACACAAGCAGAAAUAUCAAAUGUUUUAGGGGGAGUUACGUACUGCAACUAUUUGUUGGCAAACACACAGCAAGUCAAGGUGAUUAGGACACUCCAGUAAGUCACUGCACACGGCCUUUGUUCGCUAAGAAAUAGUUGAGCACAGGAAACUCCCUCUAAAACCUAAAAUUGUGGCUUUUAGGCUGUGACAUUAGCUCUGCGUGACAAAACAUAGCCCUCUCAUUCAUUUGAAUGUGGGCAGUGCAUUGACAUCGUGGGAGCGCCAACGCAGAGGGCUCCGGAAA
Long non-coding RNA from Thunnus maccoyii (southern bluefin tuna), 1337 nucleotides. RefSeq lists it as uncharacterized. The transcript is spliced from 3 exons. The record is from RefSeq and is a predicted model, not a curated record. NCBI's taxonomy places the organism in Eukaryota, Metazoa, Chordata, Actinopteri, Scombriformes, Scombridae.